AAACUUGCGGUGCGUAUCUAUUAACGCAAAAGGGCUGAACUCCCCCGCCAAGAGACAUGGCAUACUAAGAUGGGCUCACAAACAAAACAGACAUCCUACUUAUACAAGAAACCCACUUCACGGCCCAACGCGCUUUCCCCCUCACCAACAGACAUUACCCGAAGAGCUAUAUGGCCCCUUCCCCAGACUCCAAAGCGAAGGGAGUAGCCAUUAUUCUGAGAGCCAACUGCCCCCUCUCAGACGUGGUAUGCAACAGGGACCCGCAGGGACGCUACGUAACCAUACAGGGGAAAGUGGGCACUACAACCUACGCCUUCUCCUCGCUCUACGCACCUACGACACCAGACGCCUCAUUCUGGCAACAACUGACCACACACCUCAACACUUACUCAACUGCGCGACUCGUGGUCGGGGGGUUUUGCAACGCAGUCCACACCCCAGCCACCGACAGGACCUCUACUGCCACGGCACGUUCUCGCCCGUCGCAGAAUGAUUCCCUAUUCCACCAAUUUCUCACCUCACAAAAACUGAUCGACAUAUGGAGGGUACAACACCCGUCAACCAGAGACUACACGUUCUACUCCCACCCGCAUGGCACGUAUUCACGCAUAGACCACUUCCUGGUGACCCCUAACCUAGUACCACAAAUCACUAAAUCUGAAAUCGGCUCUAUAUCGUGGUCCGAUCAUGCGGAAAUAGCUAUCACCCUCGCUCUACCGUCGAUUUAUCGACAAUGGUCAUGGAGGCUGAACCCUCUUCUCCUGCAUGACAAAUCAAUCACCGACAAAAUAGCUAAAGAGCUGAAAGAGUACUUUGACCUAAACACACAGGCGGACACUGCGCCCGCCACGAUAUGGGCCGCCCAUAAAGCGGUCAUCAGGGGCACUCUCAUUAGCCUGG
Pelobates cultripes (western spadefoot toad) is the source of this 900-nucleotide non-coding RNA. The record is from the annotation of a GenBank genome assembly. NCBI's taxonomy places the organism in Eukaryota, Metazoa, Chordata, Amphibia, Anura, Pelobatidae.